ACGACCUUACUUGAACAGGAUCUGUUCUAUAGGAAGUACCUCUGUAUCCUUGAUUUCUAAGGAGACAGUCCCUGAACCCUGGUUGAUGACUCAUUACUGUGUGAUCUGAGCGUGAUUAACAGCGUGGUUUGUCUUCGGAUUCUCCGUGCUGUAGAGGAUCGUUACCUAGCCUGGUCUCGACCACGGUUAGGGUGGUCGCACGGUUGUCUGACAGGUC
Brassica napus (rape) is the source of this 217-nucleotide non-coding RNA. Lineage: Eukaryota; Viridiplantae; Streptophyta; Magnoliopsida; Brassicales; Brassicaceae. The record is from Rfam.